RNAcentral lists this ribosomal RNA (254 nucleotides) under uncultured bacterium. Its description in RNAcentral is "partial 16S ribosomal RNA". It matches the Rfam family "Bacterial small subunit ribosomal RNA", at positions 524 to 776 of the family's 1533-position model. The record is from RNAcentral.
UACGGGGGGGGGCAAGCGUUGUUCGGAAUUACUGGGCGUAAAGGGCUCGUAGGCGGCCAACUAAGUCGGAUGUGAAAUCCCCAAGCUUAACUUGGGAACUGCAUCCGAUACUGGAUGGCUUGAAUCCGGGAGAGGGAUGCAGAAUUCCAGGUGUAGCGGUGAAAUGCGUAGAUAUCUGGAGGAAUACCGGUGGCGAAGGCGGCACCCUGGACCGGCAUUGACGCUGAGGAGCGAAAGCUAGGGGAGCAAACGGG